Molecule: ribosomal RNA, 253 nt
Filed under: uncultured bacterium
Lineage: Bacteria
Description: partial 16S ribosomal RNA
Rfam family: Bacterial small subunit ribosomal RNA
Source: RNAcentral
UACGUAGGGUGCGAGCGUUGUCCGGAAUUAUUGGGCGUAAAGAGCUCGUAGGCGGUUUGUCGCGUCUGCUGUGAAAACUGGAGGCUCAACCUCCAGCCUGCAGUGGGUACGGGCAGACUAGAGUGCGGUAGGGGAGAUUGGAAUUCCUGGUGUAGCGGUGGAAUGCGCAGAUAUCAGGAGGAACACCGAUGGCGAAGGCAGAUCUCUGGGCCGUAACUGACGCUGAGGAGCGAAAGCGUGGGGAGCGAACAGG